UUUAUAAGGAAGUGUGUUCAGGUCC
This 25-nucleotide non-coding RNA is filed under the name Mus musculus (house mouse). Lineage: Eukaryota; Metazoa; Chordata; Mammalia; Rodentia; Muridae. The record is from RNAcentral.